Molecule: non-coding RNA, 1172 nt
Organism: Misgurnus anguillicaudatus (oriental weatherfish)
Lineage: Eukaryota; Metazoa; Chordata; Actinopteri; Cypriniformes; Cobitidae
Source: RefSeq, a predicted model, not a curated record
AGUGGGUCUUUGAAUUUAAAUAAAAUAAACAUGUAUAUGCAACACAAAAUAUUUAUAUUCCUUGUGUAAACAUAAUUUAAUUGAUUAGGAUUAAAAUGUUUUGUUUGAAUGUAAAAUGAACACAUUAUUCUCACAUUAAUUAAAAUUGUUUGAAUUGAAUACUUAAAGCAAUAAAAUUGGGUUUGCACACAAACGGCACCUCCUGAGCAGCAGGGGCAGUAUAUCUCAAUGAGAAGGACAUCGAUUGCCAUAAAAGAAGAAUAAAGAUCGUUUGUUUUGGGCGCCAAAAUGAAGACUCAGCAGCAGUCAGUCAGUCAGAAGAACUCUCUCAGACGGACACCACGUUAUUAAAGUCCAUCAUCCUUUCAUGCGCUACACAGCAUUGAUAAAUGCUGAAUUUAAAAGAAUCACUACUGUCUAAUGUUCCUGCGUGUCACCUGGACCUCCAAUCCAAAAACCUGACGAAACUCUUCUAUCAGAAAGGAUGACAGCUAGCAAAAAGACUUCAAACAAUUAAUGAUCAAAUGACAGAAGGCAUGGAUGAAGUCAGCAUCAGUGAGGUCAUAUGAAGACACCAAUGUUGGGAUUUGUGCUCUCAAACAACAUGCUUCUUGUGAUGAAGAAGAGGAUCUUUGUAUAGUCCUGGAAGCCAUGAAGGUGUUGCAACAUCGUGUUUGAGCUGAUGUAUGCCUUAAACCUGAUCUCCGCUUUAUUUUUGAGGAAAUCCAAACUGCAUUGAGCGUAACUUUAACGAACAGUUUCUUUCAGUGAAAGGAUCAGAAAGACUGUGCUGCUCAUUUUUGAAUUUUUUAUCUGUUUUAAGUGUUUUCUCUUAUUAAUGCAUUAACAGUUUGCUGCUCAGAGUCGAUUUUGGAAAUGGUUGUUGUAUUUUAUUUUAUUUUUUUUGAAUCUUUGAUUAACAGUUUAUAAAUGCUGUAGCUCUGACUUUCUGAAGGAGUGAUAUUUUCCAGUUUGUAAAUCCAUUUUAUAAAUAAUAGUACUUACUGUUUUGCAUGUCUCUUUGGAAUGCAGUGUUUGUGCUUUAGCACUUCUAAAUCUACUGUGAUAGUAACUAUUUUAAACAUCUGGGUGACUGGGUCAGUUUCACAGAUGGGGCUUUUCCUAGUCACAGACUUUUGCAAUGCCAUAUAUCAGUGCCAUUGUUUUGUCUA